Long non-coding RNA from Cyprinus carpio (common carp), 532 nucleotides. RefSeq lists it as uncharacterized. The record is from RefSeq and is a predicted model, not a curated record. The transcript is spliced from 2 exons. Lineage: Eukaryota; Metazoa; Chordata; Actinopteri; Cypriniformes; Cyprinidae.
UGAAGGUUGUGCUGCUCUGGCUUCAGCUCUGAGAUCAAACCCCUCACACCUGAGACACCUGGAUCUGUCUGAGAAUAAUCUAGGAGAAUCAGCAGUGAAGUUACUCUCUGAUCUGAAAGAUGAUCCACGUUAUAAACUGGAGACAUUAGACUACUGACUCUCAGUAUUUAGACGUCAGUUCAGUUUCCUCAGGAUCAGCUGAUGGUGAAUAAGAGCCGCUACAGGAAUCAGUGAUGUAAAGUUAAAUGAAUGCAUGGAAGUGUAAUGUGUGUAGCAGUGUUGAUGUGUUUAUACAGCACUGAAAACCAAGAAUCAAUGUGAUAUUUUCAGUGAUGGGCUUAUAUCCUGAGCUGUCCAGAUUUAAUAUAUAUCAUCAUAACUGUGUAUUCUGAAAUUCAGAAAUAGACAACUUAUCACUUGUACAUUUUCUUAUAUUUUAAUCCAGUCUAACAUUUGAGUGUGUAACCUUUGUAUGUAUGUGUUUAUUUUUAUUAAAAUAUGUGUCAUCUCGCGAAGAGGGGCUUCCACUUGA